RNAcentral lists this ribosomal RNA (441 nucleotides) under uncultured bacterium. RNAcentral's name for it is "partial 16S ribosomal RNA". It matches the Rfam family "Bacterial small subunit ribosomal RNA", at positions 338 to 795 of the family's 1533-position model. The record is from RNAcentral.
CCUACGGGGGGCAGCAGUGGGGGAUAUUGCACAAUGGGGGGAACCCUGAUGCAGCGACGCCGCGUGGGUGAAGGAGUGCUUCGGCAUGUAAAGCCCUAUCGGCAGGGAAGAAGCAAGACGGUACCUGACUAAGAAGCCCCGGCUAACUACGUGCCAGCAGCCGCGGUAAUACGUAGGGGGCGAGCGUCAUCCGGAUUCACUGGGUGUAAAGGGAGCGUAGACGGCCAUGCAAGCCAGGGGUGAAAGCCCGGGGCCCAACCCCGGGACUGCCCUUGGAACUGCAUGGCUGGAGUGCGAGAGGGGCAGGCGGAAGUCCUGGGGUAGCGGUGAAAUGCGUAGAUAUCGCGCAGAACUCCGAUUGCGAAGGCAGCAUGCCGGCGCCAAACUGACGCUGAAGCACGAAAGCGUGGGUAUCGAACAGGAUUAGAUACCCCUGUAGUC